RNAcentral lists this ribosomal RNA (656 nucleotides) under Chrysogorgia sp. RB-19-207. RNAcentral's name for it is "partial 28S ribosomal RNA". It matches the Rfam family "Eukaryotic large subunit ribosomal RNA", at positions 402 to 858 of the family's 3401-position model. Lineage: Eukaryota; Metazoa; Cnidaria; Anthozoa; Scleralcyonacea; Chrysogorgiidae. The record is from RNAcentral.
AAACCGUUGGAAGGGAAGCGAGUGGAGUCGGUUAUUCGCCUUGCCAGAUUCAACCGCUCUCGUGCUGCAACGUGUUCUCUCGCGACCUGAAUCCAGGCGCGGAUGGCGCGGGCGUGGCACGGGCGUGGUGCACUUCGGCGGGCGAGCGUCAACGUCAGUCAACUGCGAGUCACAAACCUGCAAGCACGGUACAUCGUUCGCGAUGGGUAAGGCUUGCGUGCGCACGACUCGCGCGAGACUGUAUUGUGUCGCAGCGUGUUCCCUCCCGUCCUGCGGGUGGGCUGCUGCCCAGUGUUGUUGAUCCGGUGAUCCGUUCCGGCGGACGGCCUUGCGCCUGUGCGUCGGCGGUGUCGCCGUUCAACUGACCUGAAACGCAGACACCACGCGCUCAGUACGUUGACAGCCCUGCGUCUCCAUCCGACCCGUCUUGAAACACGGACCAAGGAGUCUAACAUGUGCGCAAGUCUCAGGGUGAUCGAAACCCGUUGUGGGCGCAAUGAAGGUAAACGCGGUCUCGCGACUGCAGAGAUGAGAAGCGAGGAUAUCGCGCUGCAUCAUCGACCGACCUAUUCUACUCUUGGAAAGGUUUGAGUAAGAGCGUACCUGUUGGGACCCGAAAGAUGGUGAACUAUGCCUGAAUAGGGCGAAGCCAGCGG